RNAcentral lists this unclassified non-coding RNA (507 nucleotides) under Hevea brasiliensis (rubber tree). The record is from RNAcentral. Lineage: Eukaryota; Viridiplantae; Streptophyta; Magnoliopsida; Malpighiales; Euphorbiaceae.
AAGACACUGCUUAAUCAAUUCUUCCCAAAGUUCAUCAUCAUGCUGCAUGGUUACAAAUUCUACAGCCUCUUCAAUAUCUCCUAAUUCUUUUAUGAUGACAGCUAGGGCCUUUUUUGAGUUUCCCAUUCUUCCAAGUAUGAAGACUUGCUCCCUCAAAAGAUCUCUUUUGACACUAAUAUCGUAUGCCUUCUCAAGUGUGUAAUGUUGGCUGCUACGGAGAAAAGGAAGUAGCAUUUUUGGAUCAUAAUCUGCAUAAAGUUCUACCUGCAUAUCAUGAAAAUCCUUUCCAGCAUGUGGAUUUGCCUCAAAUAAUGAACGGAGAUAUACAUGCAAGAAAUAUCUUGAAUCACACUUAUUUCUGGCAGCCAGCAGUUGUGAGACAAUUUCAGCUGGAGAAAUUAGGUCCUUGUUUUGGAUAAACAAAGAUACGGCACGCUUCCAAUCCAGCAUCAUCAAUUGGACAACCUUUUCACAAAUAGCAUCAUGUAAGUUGUGUUUUUCAAUGAA